Long non-coding RNA from Lacerta agilis (Sand lizard), 654 nucleotides. RefSeq lists it as uncharacterized. NCBI's taxonomy places the organism in Eukaryota, Metazoa, Chordata, Lepidosauria, Squamata, Lacertidae. The transcript is spliced from 3 exons. The record is from RefSeq and is a predicted model, not a curated record.
CUUUCUCUUCCACAACAGCAAUCUAAUAUCCGCCUUUGUGUAAGAGAUAAAUCAGAGCCACUAGCAAAUAAUGGACAGUGAACAAUUCUGAAUGUUACCUCUGUGUGGCUGUGAAAAUGAAGAAAACACUUGGGAAAUCUGGGAGGAAGAACAUAUAUAAUCCAAUCCAGAUUAAGCAAUAUGAGACAUUAUGACUUCCUCCAGGAAUCCUUCACGUUCUGAGCUGGAUCCCCUUUGCGUCGUCAUGCUUAUCAGUCUUUGGUAUGGACACUUUGGUGUGCCAGUGAGGAGGGGGAGGAAGAGGAGCAGAGGUGACCAAGUAGGAAAGGAGGAGGAAAGUCUCAGAAGACGGAAGUACUCGCUUGCUAUCAUCUGAGCAGGACAAAAAGGAAGAAGAGUAACGGUCCACAGAGGGGAAAUUUGUCUUGGGUGAUGGCACCGUUUUCUGGAAGGACAACUGCUGCAGGGCAAAAAAGAAAGGAGAAGGGUUAGUUAAGAUGACAAGAUAGAUGCACAGACUUGUGCAAAAUAAACCAAUUGCAGCAGACUGGAAAAUACCGGAUGAAAGUGUGAAUUAAUUUUGGGACAGAUUGAGGCAUGCGCUUACAUUGCUACCUGCUGCUCAAGCAACAAUACUAACUGACCGUUCAUGGA